AGCAGCAGCCGCGGGAAUACGAAGGGGGCUAGCGUUGCUCGGAAUCACUGGGCGUAAAGGGUGCGUAGGCGGGUCUUUAAGUCAGGGGUGAAAUCCUGGAGCUCAACUCCAGAACUGCCUUUGAUACUGAAGAUCUUGAGUUCGGGAGAGGUGAGUGGAACUGCGAGUGUAGAGGUGAAAUUCGUUGAUAUUCGCAAGAACACCAGUGGCGAAGGCGGCUCACUGGCCCGAUACUGACGCUGAGGCACGAAAGCGUGGGGAGCAAACAGGAUUAGAUACCCGAGUAGUCCCUGUCUCUUAUAC
RNAcentral lists this ribosomal RNA (303 nucleotides) under uncultured bacterium. RNAcentral's name for it is "partial 16S ribosomal RNA". It matches the Rfam family "Bacterial small subunit ribosomal RNA", at positions 507 to 807 of the family's 1533-position model. The record is from RNAcentral.